GUGAGGAAUAUUGGUCAAUGGACGGAAGUCUGAACCAGCCAUGCCGCGUGAAGGAUGAAGGCGUUCUGCGUUGUAAACUUCUUUUAUCAGAGAAGAAACCACUGAUUUCUAUUAGUGUUGACGGUAUCUGAUGAAUAAGCACCGGCUAACUCCGUGCCAGCAGCCGCGGUAAUACGGAGGGUGCAAGCGUUAUCCGGAUUUACUGGGUUUAAAGGGUGUGUAGGCGGGCUAUUAAGUCAGGGGUGAAAUCCCGGGGCUCAACCUCGGAACUGCCUUUGAUACUAGUAGUCUUGAAUUAUGUUGAGGUUGGCGGAAUAUAACAUGUAGCGGUGAAAUGCAUAGAUAUGUUAUAGAACACCGAUUGCGAAGGCAGCUGGCUAAACAUAUAUUGACGCUGAGGCACGAAAGCGUGGGUAGCGAACAGGAUUAGAAACCCCAGUAGUCC
RNAcentral lists this ribosomal RNA (445 nucleotides) under uncultured bacterium. Its description in RNAcentral is "partial 16S ribosomal RNA". It matches the Rfam family "Bacterial small subunit ribosomal RNA", at positions 354 to 796 of the family's 1533-position model. The record is from RNAcentral.